Stereum hirsutum FP-91666 SS1 is the source of this 92-nucleotide non-coding RNA. Lineage: Eukaryota; Fungi; Basidiomycota; Agaricomycetes; Russulales; Stereaceae. The record is from the annotation of a RefSeq genome assembly.
GCAUCAAUGGGGUAGUGUUAACCUGGGUCGUUGCCAUGAUCCAAGGAGCUAUGUGUUUCGACCCGCCGGGGGUUCAAUUCUCCCUUGAUGCA